RNAcentral lists this ribosomal RNA (200 nucleotides) under uncultured bacterium. RNAcentral describes it as "partial 16S ribosomal RNA". It matches the Rfam family "Bacterial small subunit ribosomal RNA", at positions 29 to 252 of the family's 1533-position model. The record is from RNAcentral.
AGCGAACGCUGGCGGCAGGCCUAACACAUGCAAGUCGAACGGACCCUUCGGGGUUAGUGGCGGACGGGUGAGUAACACGUGGGAACGUGCCUUUAGGUUCGGAAUAGCUCCUGGAAACGGGUGGUAAUGCCGAAUGUGCCCUUCGGGGAAGGAUUUAUUCGCCUUUAGUAGCGGGCCCGGCCGUCUGAUUAGCUUGUUGG